CCUACGGGAGGCAGCAGUGGGGAAUCUUGCGCAAUGGGCGAAAGCCUGACGCAGCCAUGCCGCGUGAAUGAUGAAGGUCUUAGGAUUGUAAAAUUCUUUCACCGGGGACGAUAAUGACGGUACCCGGAGAAGAAGCCCCGGCUAACUUCGUGCCAGCAGCCGCGGUAAUACGAAGGGGGCUAGCGUUGCUCGGAAUUACUGGGCGUAAAGGGAGCGUAGGCGGAUAGUUUAGUCAGAGGUGAAAGCCCAGGGCUCAACCUUGGAAUUGCCUUUGAUACUGGCUAUCUUGAGUACGGAAGAGGUAUGUGGAACUCCGAGUGUAGAGGUGAAAUUCGUAGAUAUUCGGAAGAACACCAGUGGCGAAGGCGACAUACUGGUCCGUUACUGACGCUGAGGCUCGAAAGCGUGGGGAGCAAACAGGAUUAGAUACCCUGGUAGUCCACGCUGUAAACGAUGAGUGCUAGUUGUCGGCAGCAUGCUGUCGGUGACGCNGCUACGACAUUAAGCACUCCGCCGUCGGGAGGUACGGUCGCGAGAAUUAAAACUUAAAAGGUAAAGUUAGACGGCGUGAGACGUGCCGAACGGACGACGACGAGGGAGGUAGG
Molecule: ribosomal RNA, 605 nt
Filed under: uncultured bacterium
Lineage: Bacteria
Description: bacterial SSU rRNA
Rfam family: Bacterial small subunit ribosomal RNA (bases 1-515)
Source: RNAcentral